RNAcentral lists this unclassified non-coding RNA (253 nucleotides) under uncultured Patescibacteria group bacterium. Its description in RNAcentral is "contains 16S-23S intergenic spacer region". It matches the Rfam family "Bacterial small subunit ribosomal RNA", at positions 524 to 776 of the family's 1533-position model. The record is from RNAcentral.
UACGAAGGGUGCAAGCGUUAUCCGGAUUUAUUGGGCGUAAAGAGUUCGUAGGCUUUUUGGUAAGUUGUUUUUCAAAGACCGAGGCUCAACUUCGGGAAGGGAAACAAUACUACCAGGAUUGAAAUAUUUCGGGGCUACUGGAACUUAUCGUGUAGGAGUGAAAUCCGUUGAUAUGAUAAGGAACACCAAGGGCGAAGGCGGGUAGCUAGGAAUACUUUGACGCUGAGGAACGAAAGCCAGGGGAGCGAAACGG